RNAcentral lists this ribosomal RNA (356 nucleotides) under Parathemisto japonica. RNAcentral describes it as "partial 28S ribosomal RNA". Lineage: Eukaryota; Metazoa; Arthropoda; Malacostraca; Amphipoda; Hyperiidae. The record is from RNAcentral.
GAGAGUUCAAGAGUACGUGAAACCGUCUAGCGGUAAAGAGAGGGGAUCUCGAAGUUCUGAGGGGGACUCAACCUUGGUGGUGCUUGGCCUGGGCGUAUUUGAUCAGCAAUGACUUUGCGUUUAGUCCCGAGUACCUCCCGGACGCACUUUCUCCUCAGUUGACGGCAGGAACUGUUAGGAGCGAACUGAAGGCCCAGGGUGAAGUUGUUGGUUAUGCUGGCAGCCCUUGGUGUCCUAGCUUCGCAUCUGACAGGUAUGUAAGCAAACUCGUAUAGCGAGCAAUUCUCUAUUGCGGUUUGCAUCUCUCUGCCGAGUAGGUCGGUGUCUCCUCUCACCCGUCUUGAAACACGGACCAU